This 492-nucleotide ribosomal RNA is filed under the name uncultured bacterium. RNAcentral's name for it is "partial 16S ribosomal RNA". It matches the Rfam family "Bacterial small subunit ribosomal RNA", at positions 29 to 507 of the family's 1533-position model. The record is from RNAcentral.
AGUGAACGCUGGCGGUAGGCCUAACACAUGCAAGUCGAACGGCAGCACAGUAAGAGCUUGCUCUUACGGGUGGCGAGUGGCGGACGGGUGAGGAAUACAUCGGAAUCUACUUUUUCGUGGGGGAUAACGUAGGGAAACUUACGCUAAUACCGCAUACGACCUACGGUUGAAAGCAGUGGAUCUUCGGACCUUGCGCGAUUGAAUGAGCCGAUGUCGGAUUAGCUAGUUGGCGGGGUAAAGGCCCACCAAGGCGACGAUCCGUAGCUGGUCUGAGAGGAUGAUCAGCCACACUGGAACUGAGACACGGUCCAGACUACUACGGGAGGCAGCAGUGGGGAAUAUUGGACAAUGGGCGCAAGCCUGAUCCAGCCAUACCGCGUGGGUGAAGAAGGCCUUCGGGUUGUAAAGCCCUUUUGUUGGGAAAGAAAAGCAGCAGGUUAAUACCCCGCUGUUCUGACGGUACCCAAAGAAUAAGCACCGGCUAACUUCGUG